CAGACCCAACAAGGGCUGCAACACAAAAUCCUGAGUCGUUGGUCAUCCUGAUGCUGUAGAUUAAGAGCUACGAUGUUCAAAAGCAAGGCUUAGCUGCAGACCACUGAGGAGGAUCAGCUCAUUUCCUUUAGCGCACGCCGUGGAGGUUGGUGGGCUGGUGACUGGAGAGGACCGAGGACCACCUGACGGCCCGCUGGUGCUUGGGAACGCGCACACAAACUGCUGAUUGUGUCUUUAUCUGUCCUCUGACAGCAGCCGGGCCACCCAGCCUGGAUCUGCCUCCAACAUGUCAUCCCUCUGUGUGGUCCUAAACAAAACAGAAACAGGGAAACGGAGGAAAGCGUACCGAUGCCAGCCGAGAGGGAAAGAAAGAGAUGUUUCAAAAUAUGACAGUGUCAUCUCUGGGAAUGGAGCUCAGAGGAGAGAAAAGGCAGACAAAAAAGUGUUUGA
Long non-coding RNA from Xiphophorus couchianus (Monterrey platyfish), 450 nucleotides. RefSeq lists it as uncharacterized. The record is from RefSeq and is a predicted model, not a curated record. The transcript has 3 exons. Lineage: Eukaryota; Metazoa; Chordata; Actinopteri; Cyprinodontiformes; Poeciliidae.